UAAUUUCCAGGUGAGUUUGAAAUUGAAAUGCCUAAAUUGUUUUGUGUACAAUUUAAAUUCGAUUUCUUAUUCAUAGGUGC
Molecule: microRNA precursor, 80 nt
Filed under: Drosophila willistoni
Lineage: Eukaryota; Metazoa; Arthropoda; Insecta; Diptera; Drosophilidae
Description: mir-1006 microRNA precursor family
Rfam family: mir-1006 microRNA precursor family
Source: Rfam by way of RNAcentral